RNAcentral lists this ribosomal RNA (253 nucleotides) under uncultured bacterium. RNAcentral's name for it is "partial 16S ribosomal RNA". It matches the Rfam family "Bacterial small subunit ribosomal RNA", at positions 524 to 776 of the family's 1533-position model. The record is from RNAcentral.
UACGGAGGGUGCGAGCGUUGUUCGGAAUCACUGGGCGUAAAGCGCGCGUAGGCGGAUUGUUAAGUCAGGGGUGAAAUGCCGAGGCUCAACCUCGGAACUGCCUUUGAUACUGGCAAUCUUGAGUCCGGGAGAGGUGAGUGGAACUCCUAGUGUAGAGGUGAAAUUCGUAGAUAUUAGGAAGAACACCAGUGGCGAAGGCGGCUCACUGGCCCGAUACUGACGCUGAGGCACGAAAGCGUGGGGAGCAAACAGG